RNAcentral lists this ribosomal RNA (254 nucleotides) under uncultured bacterium. Its description in RNAcentral is "partial 16S ribosomal RNA". It matches the Rfam family "Bacterial small subunit ribosomal RNA", at positions 524 to 776 of the family's 1533-position model. The record is from RNAcentral.
UACGGGGGGGGCGAGCGUUGUUCGGAAUCACUGGGCGUAAAGGGCGCGUAGGCGGCCCGCACAAGUCUGCGGUGAAAACCCCCGGCUUAACCGGGGGCCGGCCGUGGAAACUGUCGGGCUGGAGGCCGGGAGAGGGCAGCGGAAUUCCCGGUGUAGCGGUGAAAUGCGUAGAGAUCGGGAGGAACACCGGCGGCGAAGGCGGCUGCCUGGACCGGCCCUGACGCUGAGGCGCGAAAGCUAGGGGAGCAAACAGG